CCUACGGGCGGCAGCAGUGAGGAAUCUUGGUCAAUGGUCGGGAGACUGAACCAGCCAAGCCGCGUGAGGGAUGAAGGUACAGAGUAUCGUAAACCUCUUUUGUCAGGGAACAAAGGCGGGGACGUGUCCCCGGAUGAGUGUACCUGAAGAAAAAGCAUCGGCUAACUCCGUGCCAGCAGCCGCGGUAAUACGGAGAAUGCGAGCGUUAUCCGGAUUUAGUGGGUUUAAAGGGUGCGCAGGCGGUCUGUUGAGUAAGCGGUCAAAGCCCGGGGCUCAACCCCGGCCCGCCGUUGAAACUGGCAGUCUCGAGUUGGAGAGAAGUAUGCGGAAUGCGCGGUGUAGCGGUGAAAUGCAUAGAUAUCGCGCAGAACUCCGAUUGCGAAGGCAGCAUGCCGGCUCCACACUGACGCUGAGGCACGAAAGCGUGGGUAUCGAACAGGAUUAGAUACCCUAUC
RNAcentral lists this ribosomal RNA (455 nucleotides) under uncultured bacterium. RNAcentral's name for it is "partial 16S ribosomal RNA". It matches the Rfam family "Bacterial small subunit ribosomal RNA", at positions 338 to 791 of the family's 1533-position model. The record is from RNAcentral.